AUGAAGGACGUGCUAAUCUGCGAUAAGCGCCGGUAAGGUGAUAUGAACCGUUAUAACCGGCGAUUUCCGAAUGGGGAAACCCAGUGUGAUUCGUCACACUAUCAUUAACUGAAUCCAUAGGUUAAUGAGGCGAACCGGGGGAACUGAAACAUCUAAGUACCCCGAGGAAAAGAAAUCAACCGAGAUUCCCCCAGUAGCGGCGAGCGAACGGGGAGGAGCCCAGAGCCUGAAUCAGCAUGUGUGUUAGUGGAAGCGUCUGGAAAGGCGCGCGAUACAGGGUGACAGCCCCGUACACAAAAGCGCAUGUGCUGUGAGCUCGAUGAGUAGGGCGGGACACGUGGUAUCCUGUCUGAAUAUGGGGGGACCAUCCUCCAAGGCUAAAUACUCCUGACUGACCGAUAGUGAACCAGUACCGUGAGGGAAAGGCGAAAAGAACCCCGGCGAGGGGAGUGAAAAAGAACCUGAAACCGUGUACGUACAAGCAGUGGGAGCACAGGUUUACCUGUGUGACUGCGUACCUUUUGUAUAAUGGGUCAGCGACUUAUAUUCUGUAGCAAGGUUAACCGAAUAGGGGAGCCGGAGGGAAACCGAGUCUUAAUUGGGCGUUAAGUUGCAGGGUAUAGACCCGAAACCCGGUGAUCUAGCCAUGGGCAGGUUGAAGGUUGGGUAACACUAACUGGAGGACCGAACCGACUAAUGUUGAAAAAUUAGCGGAUGACCUGUGGCUGGGGGUGAAAGGCCAAUCAAACCGGGAGAUAGCUGGUUCUCCCCGAAAGCUAUUUAGGUAGCGCCUCGUGAAUUCAUCUCCGGGGGUAGAGCACUGUUUCGGCUAGGGGGCCAUCCCGGCUUACCAACCCGAUGCAAACUGCGAAUACCGGAGAAUGUUAUCACGGGAGACACACGGCGGGUGCUAACGUCCGUCGUGAAGAGGGAAACAACCCAGACCGCCAGCUAAGGUCCCAAAGUCAUGGUUAAGUGGGAAACGAUGUGGGAAGGCCCAGACAGCCAGGAUGUUGGCUUAGAAGCAGCCAUCAUUUAAAGAAAGCGUAAUAGCUCACUGGUCGAGUCGGCCUGCGCGGAAGAUGUAACGGGGCUAAACCAU
Molecule: ribosomal RNA, 1102 nt
Filed under: Salmonella enterica subsp. enterica serovar Newport
Lineage: Bacteria; Pseudomonadati; Pseudomonadota; Gammaproteobacteria; Enterobacterales; Enterobacteriaceae
Description: partial 23S ribosomal RNA
Rfam family: Bacterial large subunit ribosomal RNA
Source: RNAcentral